Cyanistes caeruleus (blue tit) is the source of this 2017-nucleotide non-coding RNA. NCBI's taxonomy places the organism in Eukaryota, Metazoa, Chordata, Aves, Passeriformes, Paridae. The record is from RefSeq and is a predicted model, not a curated record.
GUAAAAUGUCCUCUGUGUCCAUUGCCGAGGAAUAAACCUCGCAGAAAGUGUCGGCAACGCCUGUACGUGAUUGCUUCCUCUGGCUGGCCUAAUCCAUAAGGAAAGGAAGAUGGAACAGCAAAGUCACUUAAGUCGUGGUCCAGCUCAUGGCAAAAGUGGAAGGAAAGUUCAAAACAGCACAUCUGAUUGUAAAAACACUCAUACACUGUGGGAAGACAAACUUUGCAGCGCAAGAAUCUUACUGUGAAAAGGACUGAGCCACAGCUAAAACUGUAGAUAUUUGCUAGAGAGGGAAAGCACUGCCUCCCAGGUGUGAUGAAGCCACCAGUCUUUGAUGACCAUUGCAGCCUCUUUUACCAGCCACAAGGUGAUGGUGCUAUAAACCAGUUUAGUUGAGGUAAUGCUCACACUGUUCUGGAGACCAAGCCAUUCUCAAGAGCCAGGAAAUCAGCAAGAGACCUAGGAAAACAAGUUACCUAUAGAGGCUUUAAAUCCAACACUAAGAGAAGCAUUGCUUUAUCUUCAAGAAAAUGUGGCAAGCUGGGAAAUAAGUAAUUCUGAAGGACAGAAACUUCCUGAAUGCACUUUCCAUCUGUCUGGUAGUUUUAUUAGCAACAAUCUGUGAAAAACAAACCUGUGCUACUGACAAGCCCCCAUGCCAGCUCAUUCCCCAGAGUAUCCAUCAAUAAUAUUCUGUGGAAACUAGAAAGAAGCCAGGACUGUGACAAAAGACCAGAGCAGCAAAAAUUUCCUCUUCUGGAAACACACAUCCAUGUCUGUGCUGGGCUACUCUCCUGCAGCUGAAGGCGACUCUGCAAGGUGAUCAACCCUCCUGAACAGCAGUGCUGCACGUGACUGGAAGAGCAGCAUUUCCCUGAACUCUGGGAGCAGCCAAACUCCUUGGCAUUCCUUAAGGGCAGGUGCUGUGAAUUCUUCUGGAGUGUGUACCAUACUUGUUCUGUAGAGUCGAGGGCUAAGAGACAGCAUUGACCAUGUUUAUCUCUCUCCUUUGGCAAAAGUAGUUGCUUCAUUUUGUUCACAUUAUAGUAGGGAUGAGAAGGGAAACUGGGAUGUUUCCACAACACCUUUGGUAGCAAAAAGAAUAAAGACAGGAAAGAGAGGUGACUGAAGAGGAAGAGGGCAUCAAACGGAAAGGAAACUGGUAAGAGGCAAAAACCAGAGAGAUGAUGAUUACAGAAGUAGUGACAACCCUGGAAAGGGAACCCUGCUAAAAUUUGUGUUUGUUACUUCAAUUUAAGCUUUCUUAGACCUUGGAAGUGCUUUUAAUGUCAAGUUUUUCCUGAUAUGUGUGAAACAAAAAGCUUCCAAAAGCAGAAUACCAGAACAAGGCCUGCACUGCUUUGUCUUCAGGAGGUGUCCAAAGAAGUCCCUUUCUUUCCUUAAAGUGUGUGCCUCUGCUAGGAUGUAAAGAAACAGGCAGAGGUAUGAAUGAAAUAUGCAUCAAGGCGGCUGCUGGCCUCACAAAAAAAUGAGGUAUAUAUUUAAUGGGAAAAUAUAUGUCUUCUCCCCUCCCUCUUCCACUCCCUGCAAGCAACUCAGUCUGGAGUGAGAGUCACAGAUCCUUUAAAGGACAGUGAGAACGCAUUUGCUUCUUCCUAAGGAGAAUGAACGUUGUGUGUAGAGCUGAAGAAAUUGCUAAGAACAGAGGAAGAAAAGAAGUUGGGCAGGAGAUGAGCUGGUAUCAGAGCUUAUAACUGAGCAUAUACAUUGCUCUAUUUCUUUAUUUUGUCUCAUCUGAUGUGGUGACUGAGGCGAGUGUGGUGAGCUCAAGACAUGAAAGUAGAAACUCCAGCCCAUGAGCAAAUCUGGGACCCAAAAUGAUGGAGAAGAGUGGGUAGAGGAGAAAGCAAGUACAGUCAUCCUUAUUAUAUUAAACAUUACAAAUUUAGUCGAGGGCUUUCCAGCAACACCUAAUCAUUAUUAAGCACUUACCAAGUAAAAUUUCCUUGGAAUUUUAAGGAGAGUAAUUUAUCCUGCUGAUAAAAUAAAAAUUAAA